This 439-nucleotide ribosomal RNA is filed under the name uncultured bacterium. RNAcentral's name for it is "partial 16S ribosomal RNA". It matches the Rfam family "Bacterial small subunit ribosomal RNA", at positions 339 to 795 of the family's 1533-position model. The record is from RNAcentral.
CUACGGGCGGCUGCAGUAGGGAAUCUUAGACAAUGGGGGAAACCCUGAUCUAGCCAUGCCGCGUGAGUGAUGAAGGCCUUAGGGUUGUAAAGCUCUUUCGCUGGGGAAGAUAAUGACGGUACCCAGUAAAGAAACCCCGGCUAACUCCGUGCCAGCAGCCGCGGUAAUACGGAGGGGGUUAGCGCUGUUCGGAAUUACUGGGCGUAAAGCGCGCGUAGGCGGGCUAUUAAGUCAGGGGUGAAAUCCCGGGGCUCAACCCCGGAACUGCCUUUGAUACUGGUCGUCUUGAGUUCGAGAGAGGUGAGUGGAAUUCCGAGUGUAGAGGUGAAAUUCGUAGAUAUUCGGAGGAACAUCAGUGGCGAAGGCGACUCACUGGCUCGAUACUGACGCUGAGGUGCGAAAGUGUGGGGAGCAAACAGGAUUAGAUACCCUGGUAGUC